AAGAAUUAACCCUAAAAAAAGGGCUAGGGUUCGCUCUAUAUUUCUAUUGAUCUACUCCAGCUCCAGCCGACAAGACACUCCCAAAGCCAAUGACCCAAAUCGAAAUUACAUUCUCAGUUCUUCAGACUUCAAUAUUCAUACGUUCAAGUCGCAUAGAGAUUAGAGAGAUGAGAAUUAGAGACGACACUCCAUCGGCGAUCUCGUGAACAACUGAACACCGACUUCAACUCCGGCGUACCAAUCUUCUGGUCAACGACAACUGGUAACCCCUUAUGCUCUUUGUGCUUGUGGUUUAGCCUUGGUUCCUCGUUCAACAACUGAACACAUAAUUUAACCUUUCGCUCGGUUCCUCAUUCCUUUUCCUUUGUGGCAGGCUCGCACCAGCAAUUGCAAGCAGGUAAGAUUAAGUAUUUUUUGUUUAUUCCAUUGGAAGUACAUUUAUUGAACAUAUAGGUUUACCUAUUAAAAUACACAUAAAUCUGAUUUCGAAGCACAUCUGACCUUGUGAGGUGUGAGUUGGGACAUGUUCAGACCUUGUGAGUUAUGACCUAUUAAGUAUUAUUUUUUUUACUGUUGAAUCUAAUUUCGAAUUUGUUGAAUUGAUUUUUUAAUCUGAUUAAUGUUAGUAGAGAUAGGGAAAAAAAAGGAAAAGAAUGUUCUGCAUACUGAACCACAAACUAUUAUGACAAUUUGAUUUAUUGACAAUAAUUCUAGAAGUAUGUUAGAUGAAUAUUGAUAAGAAAUUCAAUCAUCUAGAUUGAUAAUAAGUGUGGAUAACUGCUCGAUCAAAUCAAGUUAAGUUACAAUGAAUAGCACACUAAAAAUCAGAACUCAGAAGCUUGGUUUAAAAAAGCGCCUUAAUGCGCUAGGCGCCCAAGCGAUGACCAAAAGCACAUCAAGUAAUGAGAUGCGAUGCGAUUCCCUUAGUCGGUCGCAUUUUCCCGCUUUUUACCGCAUUGCGCUUCGGCACUUAAUACCGCUUAGGGUAAUUAAUAGAAAAUGGGCUUUUAAUUAAGUUAGACGGGCCAAUAGGUUUAAUUAAGUUAGACGGGCCAAUAGGUUUAAUUAAGUUAGAAUAGGUUUAUAUAAAUAAAGGAAAGAGAUGUAGAAUCAAUAUUGUUAGAGGUGGUAAAAACAAUUACACAAACAAAGCAAAUCGUAUCAUCGCUCCAACUCAUCUUCUCCAAGUAAUCAGAAAUCAACUCUGCUAAUGUUUUCUACUUCCAUUCCAUUAUACUAAUCUACAUAUUCUAUUCUCUUCUCAAGUCUAAAACUCUAAAGUCUGACAGUCUGAAGUAUGAAAUUUGGUCAUUAUAUUUAUACGUUUUCUGUUAAGUUGUUUGCUAUUAACGUGUGUUACCUAACUGUUAAGUCAUACACAUAAUUCAUAAGUUAUUUGUUAUCAUGCAUGAUAGUUUAGACGAUUUCUAGUAUCAGUACUUAGGAUUUAAUAUGAUACUACUAUGAUUUUACGAGAUUUUUAAGUAUUUAUAAGUAUUUUCAUAUCUUUUAUAUUUUUUUCAAUUUGGGGCGCAUCGUGUGCUCUAGGCGAGCGCUUUCGCUUAGCGCUUAGCGCAUCGGUCCCCAAAGGCUUUAGCGCUUUAGGGCGCUUUACGCUUUUUAAAACCAAGCUCAGAAGGUAGGAUUCGGAAGUAACUAGUAUAUAAAGAAUCAAACGAAUGGAUCCAAAGAUUUGAAUGAAAUUUACAACAUACUAUAUGAUGAUAAUGUGAUAAUGAGAUAAUGUCCACCUUUGAAUUGAUUUCUCAUUAUGAUUUUUGAUUUUUGAUUAAAUCAAGUGUUAACUAUUAAAUCUAGACUAAAGCUCUCUUUUCUCUGUAUAGUAUUAUCGUGGUUUAGUUUUUUUAAUGUGUAGGGAAUGGGUAUGCUCCUAAUUCAGGAAGAACAUCAUAAAUGUGAAGAAAGAGUAAGAAUUUACAUCUUUUNAGAAGAGGUUCAUGGCACAUAAAGCUUGUCAUAUUGUAUUAGCACAUAUAUUUCCUUAUGUUUUCUCUACAGCCUUUAGAUGUGCUUACUUUAUUCUUCCCUUUUUGAGUUGGGUAGGAAAAUGUGGUCAGUUCUAGGAGAGCAUAAUGGAGUGUUUUUUUUUAUCUGUAAAGGAGGGACACCCUUGAAGAAACCUUACACUUUAAUGGUUGUGGAACAAGUUUGGAUGGUUAUGUUUGAUUAUGAGUUUGUUUAAAAUGUAAUGCAAUAUUUCGAGGAAUUUAGUUUUUCUUAUUUGAUUGUAUGAUGUUAUGGUCUAAUUUGGUGUUGUGAGCUUGUGUAAGUUUUUAAUUUUUCACUAUAUUGGAGUUUUUCCAACCAAUUUCAAUUUUUUUGGCAUAAAUUUUGGGUUUUAGGUCGGGGUUUCGAGUCUUUAUCGGGUUUAGGGUUGGGUUCGAGGAAAUUUUCAGCCCCAACGGGCUCCCCAAUAAGAAACCCGAUGGGGCUGCCCAAUAAGAAUCCCGUCGGGUAUUGGGUCGGGGUCGGGGACAAAUUUAGAUAUCGGGUUUGGGGAUGGGAUAUGCCGCCCCACCCCGAACCCGCCCCGUUGCCAUUCCUAGUUUUAUCCUCGGGACUUCAACAAUGUGAGGUGAGUUACCUUCCCGAUAGCAGUGGGUCUAAGGCACCAAUGAUGACCCACUAGUAGGUGUUUAUAGUAGAGAUGGUUAUCUUUGUGAUAAUUUUAUGGUAUGCCAUUAAUAGUUGUGAUUUAUGUGCUUAUGUCCUAUAAUGUAUGUGGUAGGGGUAAGGGUAAAAUGGACCCAAUAUCCGGUUGAAAGAGACCGAAUGGGUAGUUUGGGCACCCACAUAUGUCUGACAGUAUGUUUAUGUAUGUUAUUAUGUGGUAGUGGUAGGGGUGAAAUAAACCUCGUAUCCGGUCAGAUAGACCGAAGGGGAGGCCAGCACCCAGAUAUGCUAGGCAGUUAUCGGUUGAAAGAGACCGAAGGGGUAGGCCAACACCCAGAUAUGCUAGGAAGUUGUCUGUUGAAAGAGACCGAAGGGGUAGGCCAACACCCUAAUAUGCUAGGCGGUUACCGGUUGAAAGAGACCGAAUAGGUAGGCCAGUACCCUAAUAUGCUAAGCAAUAUAUUUAUUAUAUGGUAUGUGGUAUGAUGGGGGAACUCGCUAAGCUUCGUGCUUACGGUUUUCAAUUUUGGUUUCAGGUAUUUCUUCUUCAAAAGGAAAGGAACCGACAUGAUCGCAGCGCAUCACACUAUGAUUUCAUCUUUAUGAGAUCUUUGGGAGUUAUACUCUGAAAUUACUUUUCUAUGACAUGUUUCGAGUUAUUUGAAAUAUUGGUUUUUUAUUAUGAAAUGAGUUGAAACUACUGAUGUUUCAUACAUCUGGUUUUUAUAAUUACUUAUGUAAAAAUGAAAUUUUUGGUCUUUAAUUUUGGGAUGUUACACACACACACACACCACGUGAUGGUGUAUUGAUCUAAAAUAGAGUAUACUCUAGAGGUGUACAGAUAUAGUGGUUCUUGGUUAGUUGAGCCUUAGAAUAUCAUUAGGCAAUAGCAGUUAAUGAGUUAUUUGUUGGAUAUCUUAAGGAGAUAUUAAGAAUACACUUGUCUGGUGGAAUAUUAACUAUGAUAUCAAGUUGUUUGAUAUAUGUGUGACAUAUGUGUGAAUUUAUGUGUUAUAUUCUAUUGUAGUUGUUCUUCACUUAGUCAUGAGGCUUACGAUGUGUUAUUUGCGGUUGUUUUGUAG
Molecule: long non-coding RNA, 3716 nt
Filed under: Lactuca sativa (garden lettuce)
Lineage: Eukaryota; Viridiplantae; Streptophyta; Magnoliopsida; Asterales; Asteraceae
Description: long non-coding RNA (LSAT_LNC005499)
Source: RNAcentral